GACGAACGCUGGCGGCGUGCUUAACACAUGCAAGUCGAACGCAUCCUUCGGGAUGAGUGGCGCACGGGUGAGUAACGCGUGGGAACGCACCUGGCAGUGCGGAAUAACCAUUGGAAACGAUGGCUAAUACCGCAUACGCCCUUCGGGGGAAAGAUUUAUCGCUUCCAGAUCGGCCCGCGUCCGAUUAGCUAGUUGGUGAGGUAACGGCUCACCAAGGCGACGAUCGGUAGCUGGUUUGAGAGGAUGACCAGCCACACUGGGACUGAGACACGGCCCAGACUCCUACGGGAGGCAGCAGUGGGGAAUAUUGCGCAAUGGGGGCAACCCUGACGCAGCCAUGCCGCGUGAGUGAAGAAGGCCUUCGGGUUGUAAAGCUCUUUCGGAUGUGACGGUGAUGACGGUAACAUCAGAAGAAGCCCCGGCUAACUUCGUGCCAGCCGCCGCCGUAA
This 449-nucleotide ribosomal RNA is filed under the name uncultured bacterium. RNAcentral's name for it is "partial 16S ribosomal RNA". It matches the Rfam family "Bacterial small subunit ribosomal RNA", at positions 28 to 523 of the family's 1533-position model. The record is from RNAcentral.